Molecule: RNA transcript, 1344 nt
Organism: Zea mays
Lineage: Eukaryota; Viridiplantae; Streptophyta; Magnoliopsida; Poales; Poaceae
Exons: 3
Source: RefSeq, a predicted model, not a curated record
GCAGCCGGCCAAAGCCUCCAAUAGCCCGCACCGCCCAAUCGCGAGCCAAUGGCUGCUGACAGCAGGGUCCUGUUAAAUCAACUAGCAGAUGCUCCUCUCCUUCCCCAAAACCAGCCGUGGAGCGCUGCCGUUCUUCCCCAGCGCGCAGAAGCCCCUGGCAGUCGCUCUGUUCUUCCAUUUCCUGGCCACCAGGCUUCUCACGCACGCAAGCACUGCUCCUGGCGCACCCGCAGAGCAGCCAAUGGCCUACAGCCGCUCCUUUCAACCAGUGCCGAGCGACCGUGCCUUCAGCCAAUGGAAUUCCAGCGAUGCCUCGUUAAAUCAUCCCUGCACUCUCCCUCUCCCUGUCUUCUCUCCCACACGGCGUUGCAGCAGGGAGCCCUUUCCCCAGCGCGCAGGAGCAAGGCCUCCAUGGGCGCGCGACCCCUCGGCUGUCCAGCAGGAAGUUUGGUGCCUCCCUCUGCCUCCUAUACAGCGCGCACCCCUGGUCCUGGUGUGUUUCUUUUUUUUCUGUCCGGCCAUGGAUUUCCUCGGCACCAUUCCUUUGAUUCGAGUGGGGGGGUUCGGCCUCAAGCCAGCAUGAGUCAGUGACCUCCCUGCUCGGCCAUGGCUGCGCCAUGAGCAUCUAGUGCCCCUCCCCCUCGACCUCCCUGCUUGGCAAGUGUCUAGCCGACGCCCAACUCGGCCUCGUCGUCGACCUUGCCCAGCAGCGACAGUCCGCCCCGGCACUCACCAGUGCCAAGAUCCACUGCGCCCUCUCCUUCCUUGAAGCCGUGGUGCUUGGUGGCCUCGCCUUGGCGCUCGACACCCCCAAUGGCUGAGCAGACCCCUCUGCUCCCUCAGGUCAGCGCCCUCCCUGACUCUUCUCCAUGGUGUGCUCAGCUCUCCCAUCCAUGGACAGUACCACCCCCUCCCUCCACUUCGGCUGAAGCAUAAACAACUCCCCUGCUCCUCCUCGCCGGUACGCCAUUAAGCCUGCAGCAGCAGCCUCGGAUCCCCUCCGCAUCGAGAGCAGCCGCAUCGUCGAUCCGUGCAACCUCGACGUCUCCGCGUCUCGCUUCGCCGUCGAUCUGCGCAUGCAGCCCCCGUCGCAAUGCCGUCAAUCCGCGCUAGCUAUCGGUGUCGUGCCUCGUGCUCUACCUACGGGACGAAAUGCUAGCCGGUGGACAGCACAUGCGACUCACCGAUCUAGCCAGGACCGAGAGAGGAUGAUCGUGCAAGUGAUGUGGUGUCAACCAAAAGGUGCAGUCAGGUGGAUGACCUGAAGAAUGAUGGACAUAACCAGUGGAUGCUCGCCAAGCGAGUACCUCCCCCAGCAAACACUAUCUAAGUGUCAAAUUAAAG